AUUGAACGCUGGCGGCAUGCCUUACACAUGCAAGUCGAACGGCAGCACGGGAGCUUGCUCCUGGUGGCGAGUGGCGAACGGGUGAGUAAUACAUCGGAACGUACCCUGAAGUGGGGGAUAACGUAGCGAAAGUUACGCUAAUACCGCAUAUUCUGUGAGCAGGAAAGAGGGGGAUCGCAAGACCUCUUGCUUUAGGAGCGGCCGAUGUCGGAUUAGCUAGUUGGUGAGGUAAAGGCUCACCAAGGCGACGAUCCGUAGCGGGUCUGAGAGGAUGAUCCGCCACACUGGGACUGAGACACGGCCCAGACUCCUACGGGAGGCAGCAGUGGGGAAUUUUGGACAAUGGGCGCAAGCCUGAUCCAGCCAUUCCGCGUGAGUGAAGAAGGCCU
Molecule: ribosomal RNA, 389 nt
Filed under: uncultured bacterium
Lineage: Bacteria
Description: bacterial SSU rRNA
Rfam family: Bacterial small subunit ribosomal RNA
Source: RNAcentral